Theobroma umbraticum is the source of this 1325-nucleotide long non-coding RNA. RefSeq lists it as uncharacterized. The record is from RefSeq and is a predicted model, not a curated record. Lineage: Eukaryota; Viridiplantae; Streptophyta; Magnoliopsida; Malvales; Malvaceae.
AAUUUUGUUAGCAUAGUGUUUUGGACCACAUCUUUUCUUGUGUUUUUAGAUGGAUAUGAUUCUUUGGAUCCCAAUGGAAACAUUACCAUCACAUAAGACAGCCUUGCAUGGGAUUCUAGAACAUAUGAUUACAGAAAGAGCAGAUCGUCUACCCCAACCUGCUGCCUCUCCAUUUCUGCUUUUUAUAAUGAGGCAAUCGUUCCCUGCCCCUUACGCAACUGGAGCUGCCAAGCACAAGCAAAUUGUGUAAAGUCUGGGGCUAAACCAUCCCUCUUGCAGCAGCUACGAGAUGAGCAGCAAAGACUGCCACCAGUCUUAAGGUUCUCGGGCCACAUGUGUCCCAUUCAGGUGCAAUGGCAUGCAAAUCAUAUCCAGAACUACUCUAACAGGAACUCACCCCACCUUGAAGAGCAUAACUUGCAUUUUCAGCUUCAACUACAAUCCUCUCAAUUACUAUGGAGAUAUAUCAAUGAUACUGGGAUAUUUUGGGGGAUUCAGAAUUAUAAUGACAAGCUGCUGCAAUCAGGUAAGAAAUGAAGGAUGGACUUUCCCAAGAAGGAUUUGUUUUAAUGGAGAUGAAUGUGUCAUGCCCCAACCAGAACAGUUCCCAAUAUUUCUGCCCAACAAUGGUCAGUCUCAUGCCCCAUCCUGGCUUUCCAUAUUUUUCCUCUCAUUAAUACUACUUGCAAUAAUGUUCUGGAAGUAUAUAUAUUGCUGAAUGGUGAGCAAAAACUGCAGUCUGCAAAAUGGUUCAGAAUGAAUUUAUCUGAUUUGAAAUUUAUCAUUGAAAUUAAAAUCCAAGAAAAAAAAAGUUGAGACAUCCUGGAAGUUCACAGUUGGAGUAAGGUAUCUGUCAUCAUUAAUUAGGCCAUGAUACAUGUCAAAAAUUUGAUGGAACCUUACCUGUGGUUUGAAUUGAGUCUUUACAAGCCGCCUUCUGGUCCUUGUUCUUAUUCUCAUUGUUUUUUAUUGUUCACUAAGUGGUGAACUCAACAUCUGACAAGGACAAUUCCAUGAGAAAAGUAAGCGAUAGAAGGAAAUGGAAAAUAUGCUGAUGAUGAAGUGAAAGAAAUCCAGUAGCAUUAUCAAUUUGUGACCUGCAACUGCAUAUUGCAGAUUGUCUGGCAAUUAGACAAAUCGAGUCAGAUCAUUUUAGGUUGAAGGAUAUUGGAAUUAUUUUGGAAUUAGAUUGUUUUGAGUUCGAGUCAUUUCAAGAUUGAGUCAUCUUGAGUUCGAUCAUUCCAUAUUCCUGUUAUUUGGAUUUAUCACUCAAGUUAUUCAGGAUCGAGAUUAUUUGAGUUUGAGUCAUUUCUAGUGAAAUCAAU